Molecule: ribosomal RNA, 2846 nt
Filed under: Escherichia coli
Lineage: Bacteria; Pseudomonadati; Pseudomonadota; Gammaproteobacteria; Enterobacterales; Enterobacteriaceae
Description: partial 23S ribosomal RNA
Rfam family: Bacterial large subunit ribosomal RNA
Source: RNAcentral
UGCUAAUCUGCGAUAAGCGUCGGUAAGGUGAUAUGAACCGUUAUAACCGGCGAUUUCCGAAUGGGGAAACCCAGUGUGAUUCGUCACACUAUCAUUAACUGAAUCCAUAGGUUAAUGAGGCGAACCGGGGGAACUGAAACAUCUAAGUACCCCGAGGAAAAGAAAUCAACCGAGAUUCCCCCAGUAGCGGCGAGCGAACGGGGAGCAGCCCAGAGCCUGAAUCAGUGUGUGUGUUAGUGGAAGCGUCUGGAAAGGCGUGCGAUACAGGGUGACAGCCCCGUACACAAAAAUGCACAUACUGUGAGCUCGAUGAGUAGGGCGGGACACGUGGUAUCCUGUCUGAAUAUGGGGGGACCAUCCUCCAAGGCUAAAUACUCCUGACUGACCGAUAGUGAACCAGUACCGUGAGGGAAAGGCGAAAAGAACCCCGGCGAGGGGAGUGAAAAAGAACCUGAAACCGUGUACGUACAAGCAGUGGGAGCACGCUUAGGCGUGUGACUGCGUACCUUUUGUAUAAUGGGUCAGCGACUUAUAUUCUGUAGCAAGGUUAACCGAAUAGGGGAGCCGAAGGGAAACCGAGUCUUAACUGGGCGUUAAGUUGCAGGGUAUAGACCCGAAACCCGGUGAUCUAGCCAUGGGCAGGUUGAAGGUUGGGUAACACUAACUGGAGGACCGAACCGACUAAUGUUGAAAAAUUAGCGGAUGACUUGUGGCUGGGGGUGAAAGGCCAAUCAAACCGGGAGAUAGCUGGUUCUCCCCGAAAGCUAUUUAGGUAGCGCCUCGUGAAUUCAUCUCCGGGGGUAGAGCACUGUUUCGGCAAGGGGGUCAUCCCGACUUACCAACCCGAUGCAAACUGCGAAUACCGGAGAAUGUUAUCACGGGAGACACACGGCGGGUGCUAACGUCCGUCGUGAAGAGGGAAACAACCCAGACCGCCAGCUAAGGUCCCAAAGUCAUGGUUAAGUGGGAAACGAUGUGGGAAGGCCCAGACAGCCAGGAUGUUGGCUUAGAAGCAGCCAUCAUUUAAAGAAAGCGUAAUAGCUCACUGGUCGAGUCGGCCUGCGCGGAAGAUGUAACGGGGCUAAACCAUGCACCGAAGCUGCGGCAGCGACGCUUAUGCGUUGUUGGGUAGGGGAGCGUUCUGUAAGCCUGUGAAGGUGUGCUGUGAGGUAUGCUGGAGGUAUCAGAAGUGCGAAUGCUGACAUAAGUAACGAUAAAGCGGGUGAAAAGCCCGCUCGCCGGAAGACCAAGGGUUCCUGUCCAACGUUAAUCGGGGCAGGGUGAGUCGACCCCUAAGGCGAGGCCGAAAGGCGUAGUCGAUGGGAAACAGGUUAAUAUUCCUGUACUUGGUGUUACUGCGAAGGGGGGACGGAGAAGGCUAUGUUGGCCGGGCGACGGUUGUCCCGGUUUAAGCGUGUAGGCUGGUUUUCCAGGCAAAUCCGGAAAAUCAAGGCCGAGGCGUGAUGACGAGGCACUACGGUGCUGAAGCAACAAAUGCCCUGCUUCCAGGAAAAGCCUCUAAGCAUCAGGUAACAUCAAAUCGUACCCCAAACCGACACAGGUGGUCAGGUAGAGAAUACCAAGGCGCUUGAGAGAACUCGGGUGAAGGAACUAGGCAAAAUGGUGCCGUAACUUCGGGAGAAGGCACGCUGAUACGUAGGUGAAGCGACUUGCUCGUGGAGCUGAAAUCAGUCGAAGAUACCAGCUGGCUGCAACUGUUUAUUAAAAACACAGCACUGUGCAAACACGAAAGUGGACGUAUACGGUGUGACGCCUGCCCGGUGCCGGAAGGUUAAUUGAUGGGGUUAGCGCAAGCGAAGCUCUUGAUCGAAGCCCCGGUAAACGGCGGCCGUAACUAUAACGGUCCUAAGGUAGCGAAAUUCCUUGUCGGGUAAGUUCCGACCUGCACGAAUGGCGUAAUGAUGGCCAGGCUGUCUCCACCCGAGACUCAGUGAAAUUGAACUCGCUGUGAAGAUGCAGUGUACCCGCGGCAAGACGGAAAGACCCCGUGAACCUUUACUAUAGCUUGACACUGAACAUUGAGCCUUGAUGUGUAGGAUAGGUGGGAGGCUUUGAAGUGUGGACGCCAGUCUGCAUGGAGCCGACCUUGAAAUACCACCCUUUAAUGUUUGAUGUUCUAACGUGGACCCGUGAUCCGGGUUGCGGACAGUGUCUGGUGGGUAGUUUGACUGGGGCGGUCUCCUCCUAAAGAGUAACGGAGGAGCACGAAGGUUGGCUAAUCCUGGUCGGACAUCAGGAGGUUAGUGCAAUGGCAUAAGCCAGCUUGACUGCGAGCGUGACGGCGCGAGCAGGUGCGAAAGCAGGUCAUAGUGAUCCGGUGGUUCUGAAUGGAAGGGCCAUCGCUCAACGGAUAAAAGGUACUCCGGGGAUAACAGGCUGAUACCGCCCAAGAGUUCAUAUCGACGGCGGUGUUUGGCACCUCGAUGUCGGCUCAUCACAUCCUGGGGCUGAAGUAGGUCCCAAGGGUAUGGCUGUUCGCCAUUUAAAGUGGUACGCGAGCUGGGUUUAGAACGUCGUGAGACAGUUCGGUCCCUAUCUGCCGUGGGCGCUGGAGAACUGAGGGGGGCUGCUCCUAGUACGAGAGGACCGGAGUGGACGCAUCACUGGUGUUCGGGUUGUCAUGCCAAUGGCACUGCCCGGUAGCUAAAUGCGGAAGAGAUAAGUGCUGAAAGCAUCUAAGCACGAAACUUGCCCCGAGAUGAGUUCUCCCUGACCCUUUAAGGGUCCUGAAGGAACGUUGAAGACGACGACGUUGAUAGGCCGGGUGUGUAAGCGCAGCGAUGCGUUGAGCUAACCGGUACUAAUGAACCGUGAGGCUUAACCUU